CCGCGACCCUCCCGGCCUCCCGCCUCCGGGCGGGUCGGCGCCCGCCGGAGGAUAACCAAACUCUGAUUUAACGACGUUUCUUCUGAGUGGUACAAGCAAAUAAUCAAAACUUUUAACAACGGAUCUCUUGGUUCUGGCAUCGAUGAAGAACGCAGCGAAAUGCGAUAAGUAAUGUGAAUUGCAGAAUUCAGUGAAUCAUCGAAUCUUUGAACGCACAUUGCGCCCGCCAGCAUUCUGGCGGGCAUGCCUGUUCGAGCGUCAUUUCAACCCUCAAGCUCUGCUUGGUGUUGGGGCCCUACAGCUGAUGUAGGCCCUCAAAGGUAGUGGCGGACCCUCCCGGAGCCUCCUUUGCGUAGUAACUUUACGUCUCGCACUGGGAUCCGGAGGGACUCUUGCCGUAAAACCCCCAAUUUUCCAAAGGUUGACCUCGGAUCAGGUAGGAAUACCCGCUGAACUUAAGCAUAUC
This 466-nucleotide ribosomal RNA is filed under the name Colletotrichum siamense. Its description in RNAcentral is "eukaryotic LSU rRNA". The stretch from base 108 to 261 matches the Rfam family "5.8S ribosomal RNA". Lineage: Eukaryota; Fungi; Ascomycota; Sordariomycetes; Glomerellales; Glomerellaceae. The record is from RNAcentral.